UACGUAGGUGGCAAGCGUUAUCCGGAUUUACUGGGUGUAAAGGGCGUGUAGGCGGGUGUUCAAGUCGGAUGUGAAAAGGCAAGGCUCAACUUUGCUCGGUCAUCCGAAACUGGAUAUCUUGAGUGUCUGAGGGGAAAGCGGAAUUCCUGGUGGAGCGGUAAAAUGCGUAGAGAUCAGGAGGAACACCGGCGGCGAAGGCGGCUUUCUGGCAGACAACUGACGCUGAGGCGCGAAAGCGUGGGGAGCAAACAGGAUUAGAUACCCUGGUAGU
This 271-nucleotide ribosomal RNA is filed under the name uncultured prokaryote. RNAcentral's name for it is "partial 16S ribosomal RNA". It matches the Rfam family "Bacterial small subunit ribosomal RNA", at positions 524 to 794 of the family's 1533-position model. The record is from RNAcentral.